RNAcentral lists this ribosomal RNA (253 nucleotides) under uncultured bacterium. RNAcentral's name for it is "partial 16S ribosomal RNA". It matches the Rfam family "Bacterial small subunit ribosomal RNA", at positions 524 to 776 of the family's 1533-position model. The record is from RNAcentral.
UACGAAGGGGGCUAGCGUUGUUCGGAAUUACUGGGCGUAAAGCGCGCGCAGGCGGUCUUCCAAGUCAGUGGUGAAAGCCCGGAGCUCAACUCCGGAAUUGCCAUUGAAACUGUUGGACUUGAGGAUGAGAGAGGUGAGUGGAAUUCCCAGUGUAGAGGUGAAAUUCGUAGAUAUUGGGAAGAACACCGGUGGCGAAGGCGGCGAGCUGGUCCAUUACUGACGCUGAGGCGCGACAGCGUGGGGAGCAAACAGG